This 64-nucleotide microRNA precursor is filed under the name Chrysemys picta bellii (western painted turtle). RNAcentral describes it as "Cpi-Mir-218-P4_pre stem-loop". It matches the Rfam family "mir-218 microRNA precursor family", at positions 11 to 73 of the family's 82-position model. Rfam says of the family: The extents of the hairpin precursors are not known. In this case the mature sequence in excised from the 5'arm of the hairpin. Lineage: Eukaryota; Metazoa; Chordata; Testudines; Emydidae. RNAcentral also lists the same sequence under 6 other names. The record is from RNAcentral.
UUGUGCUUGAUCUAACCAUGUGGUAGAACAAUACAAAUUGAACAUGGUUCUGUCAAGCACCAUG